GAUUGGUUGAAAAGCAUCAUUCAGAAGGAACCAAUAAAGAGAGAGGGGUUGAACUACCUAGAGAAAACCAUUUUAAAUCACAAUUUCAGAAGAUUUUAAAAAUUCAACUCUACCUAAAGACAUCAUAAAAUGGCUCAUUAUUCCAUCAUCCAGGUCAUAUCGUCUAAUAACAGAAAUCAGAGAGAAGUACCAGGAUCAUAAUUACAGAGAGAAGUUUGACCAAAUCCCUUUCUGUAAAAAUGUUAAAUAUAAAUAUAUGUCUUCUAUGUUUUUGUCCUAACCCUAAAUACUAAAUAUUUACUGGGAAGUCUCUUAAUCUGUGAAAGACUGCAUUCAUUUACAUUAAAUAAAAUAUGGGAAUUGCUCAAUUUUAAAUUCAGUAUUCCCUAUGAAAAACUAAACUUAGGAAAAGUAAAUUUUUUAUGAAUUUUGCCACAACUGCUCAUUUGGGGAAUAAAAAUCAGAACUCUGAAAUUUUAGCUUUAAAAACCAAUAUUGUCUUUGAAAGCUAAUGAUCAAGUGAUGAUUUUGUUUUCUAGCCAUUUAAUAAUAACCUUGGCUUUCUUUUUCGGGUUCAUAUGCCUUGCACAAUCUUUGACCAAAACCAAAAUUCUCACCUACUUUCUAUGUAAUAAAUCAUUAGGAAUUAUGAAAAAGAGGGAAAAGAAUUAACGUUAUCCAAGUUUAUAACUAUUGGAUGGGCAUUCUGCUAGAAUGCUUCUUAUGCUUUAUGCUUCUUAUCAUAUUAAUGCUCCAGUAUUAUAUACGAUAGAAAAUAAAAGUUAAUCUAGUAAUAUAUAAUGUUAAAUUCAACUAAAUUUGG
RNAcentral lists this long non-coding RNA (823 nucleotides) under Pan troglodytes (chimpanzee). RNAcentral describes it as "lincRNA". The record is from RNAcentral. Lineage: Eukaryota; Metazoa; Chordata; Mammalia; Primates; Hominidae.